CGGAGGCAGCAGUGAGGAAUAUUGGUCAAUGGGCGCAAGCCUGAACCAGCCAUGCCGCGUGAAGGAUGAAGGUUCUAUGGAUUGUAAACUUCUUUUAUUUGGGAAUAAACCUAUUUACGUGUAGAUAGCUGAAGGUACCAAAUGAAUAAGCACCGGCUAACUCCGUGCCAGCAGCCGCGGUAAUACGGAGGGUGCAAGCGUUAUCCGGAAUCAUUGGGUUUAAAGGGUCCGCGGGCGGAUUUAUAAGUCAGUGGUGAAAGCCUACAGCUUAACUGUAGAACUGCCAUUGAUACUGUAAGUCUUGAAUUUGGUCGAAGUGGGCGGAAUAUGACAUGUAGCGGUGAAAUGCAUAGAUAUGUCAUAGAACACCGAUAGCGAAGGCAGCUCACUAGGCCAACAUUGACGCUCAUGGACGAAAGCGUGGGGAGCAAACAGGAUUAGAAACCCCAGUAGUCCG
This 457-nucleotide ribosomal RNA is filed under the name uncultured bacterium. RNAcentral's name for it is "bacterial SSU rRNA". It matches the Rfam family "Bacterial small subunit ribosomal RNA", at positions 343 to 797 of the family's 1533-position model. The record is from RNAcentral.